RNAcentral lists this ribosomal RNA (253 nucleotides) under uncultured bacterium. Its description in RNAcentral is "partial 16S ribosomal RNA". It matches the Rfam family "Bacterial small subunit ribosomal RNA", at positions 524 to 776 of the family's 1533-position model. The record is from RNAcentral.
UACGUAGGGCGCAAGCGUUGUCCGGAAUCAUUGGGCGUAAAGAGCUCGUAGGCGGCCUGUCGCGUCCGCUGUGAAAUCCCGGGGCUUAACCCCGGGCGUGCAGUGGAUACGGGCUGGCUGGAGGCAGGCAGGGGAGAACGGAAUUCCCGGUGGAGCGGUGAAAUGCGUAGAGAUUGGAAAGAACACCGAUGGCGAAGGCACUUUACUGGGCUAUUACUAACACUCAGAGACGAAAGCUAGGGUAGCAAAUGGG